Y RNA from Callithrix jacchus (white-tufted-ear marmoset), 106 nucleotides. It matches the Rfam family "Y RNA". From Rfam's summary of the family: Y RNAs are components of the Ro ribonucleoprotein particle (Ro RNP), in association with Ro60 and La proteins. NCBI's taxonomy places the organism in Eukaryota, Metazoa, Chordata, Mammalia, Primates, Cebidae. The record is from Ensembl.
GGCUGGUCUGAAGAUAGUGAUACCUCAAUUGAUUUUUCACAGUCAGUUGCUGAUCAAAUUCCUUGUCCUACUCUUUCUUUCUCAUACUGUACUUGACUAGACUUCA